AUUGAACGCUGGCGGCAGGCCUAACACAUGCAAGUCGAACGGUAACAGGAAACAGCUUGCUGUUUCGCUGACGAGUGGCGGACGUGUGUGUAAUGUCUGUGAACCUGCCUGAUGGAUGGGGAUAACUACUGGAAACGGUAGCUAAUACCGCAUAACGUCUCAAGACCAAAGUUGGGGACUCUCGUGCCUCUUUCCUUUCGAUUUGCCCAGGUGGGAUUAGCUUGUUGGUGGGGUAACGGCUCACCAAUGCGACGAUCCGUAGCUGGUCUGAGAGGAUGACCAGCCACACUGGAACUGAGACACGGUCCAGACUCCUACGGGAGGCAGCAGUGGGGAAUAUUGCACAAUGGGCGAAAGCCUGAUGGAGCAAUGCCGCGUGAAUGAAGAAGGCCUUCGGGUUGUAAAGUACUGUCAGCGGGGAGGAAGGGAGUAAAGAUAAUACAUGUACUCAUUGACGUUACCCGCAGAAGAAGCACCGGCUAACUCCGUG
RNAcentral lists this ribosomal RNA (490 nucleotides) under uncultured bacterium. RNAcentral describes it as "partial 16S ribosomal RNA". It matches the Rfam family "Bacterial small subunit ribosomal RNA", at positions 30 to 507 of the family's 1533-position model. The record is from RNAcentral.